RNAcentral lists this long non-coding RNA (1455 nucleotides) under Nicotiana benthamiana. Its description in RNAcentral is "long non-coding RNA (NBEN_LNC009223)". Lineage: Eukaryota; Viridiplantae; Streptophyta; Magnoliopsida; Solanales; Solanaceae. The record is from RNAcentral.
AUGAAAGUAGGGCAGUUAAUCUGCUUUCCUUCCACCAAGCACUGCAUAAGAGCCAGGUCCAUGUGGUUUGUUGUAUGCCCCCUCUCCUGUCUAGGAACUAGGCAUUUUUCCACAAAUUUAAAGAGCACUUUAUGCUCUAGCCUCAUCUCACUCUUGUGUACAACCCAUGCUUCAGGAACCUCCUCAUCAACUUUGGUGUCACAGAAGUUCCUAGUGAUUUGAAGAUCAGUAGACAGUCCAUCCAGACAGGCCAUUUUUCCUUGUGUAAUCAUUAUAUCCUUCACUAGGAAUGUCCAGAAUUUUUCCCAGCUUGGGUGCAUCAAACUUCACCUUGACCCCCUUCACUAUGCUAGUUACCAGUCCAUUUUUCACAGUCCCAUUGGCCAUGAAUUCAACGAGCUCAUUUCUGUCCAAUCUACCAUCCAUCUGAAGGACCAUGUCCUUCCAUCCUUGUGCCUCCAGUGUAGUCACAAUCUCAUCAUGCCUGGUUCCUCCAGGUUUAUGAGAAGUCUUCCCUUUAGAAUUUUUCUUUUGCCAAACAUGGCAUACCUAUCAUGUUCCUGUUUUGACUCAUCUUCUCCUUAUUCUUCACUCCACUCUUCAUCAUCUUCUUAAGUUAUUUUCACUUGUUUACCUUUCACAGCUAACCUAGUUCUCUUUGCUAGAGAAGGUUCAACAGAUACUUACUUGGAGGGCUUCCUUGCAGAAGACAUGGUUCCCUUUGAUUUGGCAGUGGGAACUUCCACAGUCAUACUCUGCUCUUGAUGGACCAGUUCCAUCUCUUCCUCCUCUUCUUCAAUAGCAACCUCAGAACUUUCAACCAUUUUUGCUUUCCCCUUUUCUUUUUUCCUUUCUUGCUCUCCUCUAGAGCCUUUUGCAGUUCUGCUUCACACUCCCUAACUCUACUUCUUGUGGCUCUAACAGACUUAGGUGAUGACACUUUGCUCUUUUUAGUUGGUUUGGAUGCAACAGUAGUCCUUUGUAAGGAAGACUUGCGUUUCUUAAGAUCAUAACUAGCAUCAAAUUUCUUCAGCACAUCUGCCAAAGUCUCCUCCACAUAUGAACCAGGUUCAUCUGGUUGUUCACUCAAGUUCACCAGUCCCUCGGCAGCUUCACCUGACCCAUUUCCCCCUGACUUCAAGCCUCCUUCUUCUCCACUACCACAGAUAGCUAAAACCUUCCCAUUCUUUUUCUUUCUCCUUUUACAAGAUUCAGCCCCUUCAACAUUUUUAACAACCCCUAUCAGAACAAACCUAUUUUUCUCAUUUUUAACUAUAUCAGAAGACAAGUAACAUGUGUUUAUCUCUCUUGGAUUUUCUUGACUCUUGUCAUUGUCAAAAGACCCAUGUUCUUCUCCAUCACUAGCACAGAUGAAAUUUUCAGACUCAGAACUUGAGUCAAACCUUUUGGCUGGGACUUCCUUUCUCUGACUAGCCUGUAGUCUUUCAUUCAAAA